GACGAACGCUGGCGGCGUGCUUAACACAUGCAAGUCGAACGGAAAGGCCCUGCUUUUGUGGGGUGCUCGAGUGGCGAACGGGUGAGUAACACGUGAGUAACCUGCCCUUGACUUUGGGAUAACUUCAGGAAACUGGGGCUAAUACCGGAUAGGAGCUCCUGCUGCAUGGUGGGGGUUGGAAAGUUUCGGCGGUUGGGGAUGGACUCGCGGCUUAUCAGCUUGUUGGUGGGGUAGUGGCUUACCAAGGCUUUGACGGGUAGCCGGCCUGAGAGGGUGACCGGCCACAUUGGGCCUGAGAUACGGCCAAGACUGCUACGGGAGGCAGCAGUGGGGAAUAUUGCACAAUGGGCGGAAGCCUGAUGCAGCAACGCCGCGUGCGGGAAGACGGCCUUCGGGUUGUAAACCGCUUUCGCCUGUGACGAAGCGUGAGUGACGGUAAUGGGUAAAGAAGCACCGGCUAACUACGU
RNAcentral lists this ribosomal RNA (467 nucleotides) under uncultured bacterium. Its description in RNAcentral is "partial 16S ribosomal RNA". It matches the Rfam family "Bacterial small subunit ribosomal RNA", at positions 28 to 506 of the family's 1533-position model. The record is from RNAcentral.